GAUGAACGCUGGCGGCGUGCUUAAUACAUGCAAGUCGAGCGAACAGACGAGGAGCUUGCUCUUCUGACGUUAGCGGCGGACGGGUGAGUCACAAGUGACUAACCUAUCUCUAAGACUGGGAUAACUUAGGGAAACUGUAGCUAAUACUGGAUAAUAUAUCGAACUGCAUGGUUCAAUAGUGAAAGAUGGUUUUGCUGUCAAUUAUAGACGGAUCCGCGCCGCAUUAGCUAGUUGGCAAGGUAACGGCUUACCAAGGCAACGAUGCGUAGCCGACGGGAGAGAGUGGUCGGCCACACGAGAACUGGGACACGGUCCAGGCGCCUACGAGAGGCAGCAGUAGCGAAUCUGCCGCAGUAGGCGGGAGCCUGACGGAGCGACGCCGCGUGAGUGAUGAAGGUCUUCGGAUCGUAAAGCUCUGUUAUGAGUGAAAAACAAAUGUGUAAAUGACUAUGCACGUCUUGACGGUACCUAAUCAGAAAGCCACGGCUAACUACGUG
This 497-nucleotide ribosomal RNA is filed under the name uncultured bacterium. RNAcentral's name for it is "partial 16S ribosomal RNA". It matches the Rfam family "Bacterial small subunit ribosomal RNA", at positions 28 to 507 of the family's 1533-position model. The record is from RNAcentral.